AUAAAGCCUUAGUAGUAUAA
This 20-nucleotide transfer RNA is filed under the name Crocidura batakorum (Batak shrew). RNAcentral describes it as "partial tRNA-Thr". Lineage: Eukaryota; Metazoa; Chordata; Mammalia; Eulipotyphla; Soricidae. The record is from RNAcentral.